Molecule: transfer RNA, 71 nt
Filed under: Heliconius melpomene (postman butterfly)
Lineage: Eukaryota; Metazoa; Arthropoda; Insecta; Lepidoptera; Nymphalidae
Description: tRNA HMEL009130
Rfam family: tRNA
About the family: Transfer RNA (tRNA) molecules are approximately 80 nucleotides in length. Their secondary structure includes four short double-helical elements and three loops (D, anti-codon, and T loops). Further hydrogen bonds mediate the characteristic L-shaped molecular structure. tRNAs have two regions of fundamental functional importance: the anti-codon, which is responsible for specific mRNA codon recognition, and the 3' end, to which the tRNAs corresponding amino acid is attached (by aminoacyl-tRNA synthetases). tRNAs cope with the degeneracy of the genetic code in two manners: having more than one tRNA (with a specific anti-codon) for a particular amino acid; and 'wobble' base-pairing, i.e. permitting non-standard base-pairing at the 3rd anti-codon position.
Source: RNAcentral
GAACGAAUAGCUUAGUGGUCAGAGUGCUUGAACGGUAAACAAGAUGCGCACGCUCAAAUCUGCUACGUUAA